This 846-nucleotide ribosomal RNA is filed under the name uncultured bacterium. RNAcentral's name for it is "bacterial SSU rRNA". It matches the Rfam family "Bacterial small subunit ribosomal RNA", at positions 609 to 1458 of the family's 1533-position model. The record is from RNAcentral.
UCANCCGUUAAACUGCUUGGGAAACUGAUANUCUAGAGUAAGGGAGAGGCAGAUGGAAUUCUUGGUGUAGGGGUAAAAUCCGUAGAUAUCAAGAAGAAUACCUAUUGCGAAGGCGAUCUGCUGGAACUUAACUGACGCUAAUGCGUGAAAGCGUGGGGAGCAAACAGGAUUAGAUACCCUGGUAGUNCACGCCCUAAACGAUGUAUACCGGUUGUUGCUGUGCUAGUCACGGCAGUAAUCCACCUAACGGAUUAAGUAUACCGCCUGGGGAGUACGGUCGCAAGAUUAAAACUCAAAGGAAUAGACGGGGACCCGCACAAGCGGUGGAGUAUGUGGUUUAAUUCGAAGAUACGCGAAGAACCUUACCCGGACUUGAUAUCUAACAAAUCAUCCAGAGAUGGAAGAGUGUCUGCUUGCAGAAAUGUUAAGACAGGUGCUGCACGGCUGUCGUCAGCUCGUGUCGUGAGAUGUUGGGUUAAGUCCCGCAACGAGCGCAACCCACGUCAUUAGUUGCUAACGGUUCGGCCGAGCACUCUAAUGAGACUGCCUUCGUAAGGAGGAGGAAGGUGUGGACGACGUCAAGUCAUCAUGGCCCUUAUGUCCGGGGCGACACACGUGCUACAAUGGCAUAUACAAUAAGACGCAAUAUCGUAAGAUGGAGCAAAUCUAAAAAAUAUGUCCCAGUUCGGAUUGGAGUCUGCAACUCGACUCCAUGAAGCCGGAAUCGCUAGUAAUCGUAGAUCAGCCAUGCUACGGUGAAUACGUUCCCGGGUCUUGUACUCACCGCCCGUCACACCAUGGGAGUUGAUUUCACUCGAAGCGGGAAUGCGAAAUUCGCUACCNUCC